Passer domesticus (house sparrow) is the source of this 1825-nucleotide long non-coding RNA. RefSeq lists it as uncharacterized. NCBI's taxonomy places the organism in Eukaryota, Metazoa, Chordata, Aves, Passeriformes, Passeridae. The record is from RefSeq and is a predicted model, not a curated record. The transcript is spliced from 4 exons.
UGCUUUACCUUGGGCCGUGGCAGGGAGCAGGAGGGAGCUGAAGCUGAGCUACCUGCAGCCAGCUGUGGCACCCAGCAGUCACUGACACUCUGGGAUCAUUUCCAAGAGGAGCCAGGAAUAAUCUCUUCCCUCGUCCUGCUUCUUUGCGAAUGACCCUGGACAGGCUGGGUUGGGCUCAGCACUGGCCUGCUUUCCUUUUGUGAUGCUGUGUGCAGCUUUCCACCACUGUGGCCUUGUAGGACUCUUUUCCAGAGAACAAGAAAGAAUUCAGCUUCAAUGAGUCCUUCUGUGUUUGUCUCAGCUUUGCAGAUGGAGAGUGACAGCAGAGUUGCUACAAGAUCAGUUUAGGUUCUGUGAUCUCCUGUCCACCCAGUGAUUAAUUGCCCACCAGGGAUGUGCUUUCUGAAGAGGCUCCUUUGGCGGCAGUUUCAGGUAGGGGAGAACUCAGAUUUCAGCUGGGAGUGUCCUGCUAUCCAGGGGGGAGUCAUGUCUCCCAGAUUUUUCUGCACAAAGGUAAAGCAACCACGGUCUCCAUCCACACAAAUGGCAGCAGGGCUCCAGGGGAUUGUCCAGCAGCACAUCAAACUUGCUUUUACACAUCACUUGUUUGCUCAUUGAGGUUAUGAAUUGUCCCAAACAGUUUUUCUUCAUGAAAGCCAUUCAGUUCUCUUUUCCAUGAGCACCUGGACCCUCCCAUUCCCCCAGGAACCAAACUGCCUCACAGUUUAGGGAGUUGCAAUGAAAGGUGUCAAAAUGCCCAGGUGCUGCCAUUGCUGCCAGCAAGCCUGUGCUGCUCCAAAACCACCACCUCAUGCUUCAAGGAGCUGUGGAAGAAAAAUUUGCUUUCAGCAGAAGGACUUCUAUUUGUGGAUCAUUAAAGGGAAUUUGUGACUUUAACAAACUGGGUAUUAACCAUGCUGCUGGCUGUUAAAAAAAGAUAUUAAAAUGAUUGCUUACUAUCAGUGGCAAAGCUGUUGAGAAAUAAGUUUUCUGUUACUAUGUCAGGAGGCACAAAUUGCUUAAUCACUUGUGUCAUUGAGUGACACUAACAUUAGUUAUAAAAGCUUAUCAGAUACUGCUGAUCAGAGCAGCUCCAGAGGAGACAGUAUUUCAAAACUCACAUCAAUUUCAUGCUCUAAGAAUAAAACUUCAAAAUGUUUUUUUUUUUUUUUUUCUAUUUAGUUGCCAGAGUAUAUUUUUAAAUUUUUAAAGUCCUGGGUUGAGUAGUUGACUCACUAGCAUACAAUUCAAACAAAUAAGAUAUCACUGAUGGAAAACUGAUGGAAAAGAAGAUUUGAACUAUUAUACAGAACAGAUAAGCCAUUAGCUUCUCCCAGGACCUAAUGAUGAGGUCUGCAGGAUCAUUCAGGCUACAGCCAUAAUUAAGACUCAUUCUGAGUCAUUCUGUUGCAGCAGAAAACAUUAGCAAAAAGGGAAUCUCUGGCAACCUCCAAGCAAGGGAGGACUAGGCUGAGACUGGUGUCUGACACAAGGAGCACUGAAAUAUUUUUGAAAUAUAAAGCUGUAAAAAAGAAUUGGCUUUUUAUUACUAUUUUAUUUAACAAGCUACUGUUUGGAAGCAUAAUCACUCACACCUGAAUAAAGACUUGAACAUGUUUUUCCACCUUCUGUCACCUGUGGGAAGGCCAUUAUUCAGUUAUGCUAAAUGUGUUAUGUUAUUCCAUUUAUUCCAUGCUCAAAUUACUCAGCUGUUUCAACCACACUCUUUUAUCCUGUUGCUUUAUUUAGUUGAUAUAUGUCAUCUCUGUAUUUGACUUCCUCUUGAGGAAGACACUGACAGCUGCAUUUUUGCAUUGGUUUCUUU